RNAcentral lists this ribosomal RNA (303 nucleotides) under uncultured bacterium. RNAcentral's name for it is "partial 16S ribosomal RNA". It matches the Rfam family "Bacterial small subunit ribosomal RNA", at positions 507 to 807 of the family's 1533-position model. The record is from RNAcentral.
AGCAGUAGCCACGGGAAUACAGAGGGUGCAAGCGUUAAUCGGAAUUACUGGGCGUAAAGCGCGCGUAGGUGGUUCGCCAAGUUGGAUGUGAAAUCCCCGGGCUCAACCUGGGAACUGCAUCCAAAACUGGCGAGCUAGAGUAUGGUAGAGGGUGGUGGAAUUUCCUGUGUAGCGGUGAAAUGCGUAGAUAUAGGAAGGAACAUCAGUGGCGAAGGCGACCACCUGGACUGAUACUGACACUGAGGUGCGAAAGCGUGGGGAGCAGACAGGAUUAGAUACCCGAGUAGUCCCUGUCUCUUAUAC